Molecule: ribosomal RNA, 459 nt
Filed under: uncultured bacterium
Lineage: Bacteria
Description: partial 16S ribosomal RNA
Rfam family: Bacterial small subunit ribosomal RNA
Source: RNAcentral
CCUACGGGUGGCAGCAGUGAGGAAUAUUGGUCAAUGGCCGGGAGGCUGAACCAGCCAAGUCGCGUGAGGGAAGACGGCCCUACGGGUUGUAAACCUCUUUUGUCAGGGAGCAAGGUGCAGGUCGGGACCUGCUGUGAGAGUACCUGAAGAAAAAGCAUCGGCUAACUCCGUGCCAGCAGCCGCGGUAAUACGGAGGAUGCGAGCGUUAUCCGGAUUUAUUGGGUUUAAAGGGUGCGCAGGCGGAGGCACAAGUCAGCGGUAAAAUGGCGGGGCUCAACCCCGCUCCGCCGGUGAAACUGUGGCCCUUGAGUGCGCGAAGGGUAGGCGGAAUGCGUGGUGUAGCGGUGAAAUGCAUAGAUAGCACGCAGAACUCCGAUCGCGAAGGCAGCCUACCGGCGCGCAACUGACGCGCAUGCACGAAAGCGUGGGUAUCGAACAGGAGUAGAUACCCCAGUAGUC